This 253-nucleotide ribosomal RNA is filed under the name uncultured bacterium. RNAcentral describes it as "partial 16S ribosomal RNA". It matches the Rfam family "Bacterial small subunit ribosomal RNA", at positions 524 to 776 of the family's 1533-position model. The record is from RNAcentral.
UACGUAGGGUGCGAGCGUUGUCCGGAAUUACUGGGCGUAAAGAGCUCGUAGGUGGUUUGUCGCGUUGUCCGUGAAAACUCACAACUCAAUUGUGGGCGUGCGGGCGAUACGGGCAGACUGGAGUACUGCAGGGGAGACUGGAAUUCCUGGUGUAGCGGUGAAAUGCGCAGAUAUCAGGAGGAACACCGGUGGCGAAGGCGGUUCUCUGGGCCUUACCUGACACUGAGGAGCGAAAGCGUGGGGAGCGAACAGG